This 1655-nucleotide long non-coding RNA is filed under the name Capsicum annuum. RNAcentral's name for it is "long non-coding RNA (CANN_LNC006530)". Lineage: Eukaryota; Viridiplantae; Streptophyta; Magnoliopsida; Solanales; Solanaceae. The record is from RNAcentral.
AAGAUAGAAAGCGUGGAUUUGAUUCUUACCAUUUCCAGUAACAUUGAACAAGUAUAAGCGAUUUCCAGCGGCUGUUGCUGUGAUCAUUACAUGUGGCGGCUCUAAUUCAAACUGGUAAUAUGUUCUUCCCAAAUGCUUUGCUACUUCAGAUCUUAAGACUUUACCUUCAACAUUCUCUCCAAUAACUUCAGGCCCAAAUGCGCUAAUCACUUUAUCAGGAGGUCCAAUUUGUUCUAUGGUAGCUUCUUCACCAAUAUCUGAGUCAUAUUUUGAGUAGAAUACCACCAAAAUUGAAUCCGUUAGAGACAAAUUGAGUUGAUUAUAUUUAUUUGCCCCCAUGUUUUUUACAUAUUCAUCCCUAUGUUCACCUAAGAUCACUCUUUCAGUACUAGAAUAGAAGGAAGAAAAAAUAUGAGAUGCCCACCAUCUGAAAAUCUUUUAACAGGAGCCACAAUUACAAAGAUUCUCCCUUCUUUUGGAUUCGCAAAUCUCAAGUCAAUCUCUGUACCACCUAGAUCAGCAAUUGACACAGGGACCUGUUCAACAGGUGAAAACAUUAAAAGUGAACCUGAGUAAGGUAUGUCCAAUCAUGCCCAAGUUGAUUAGUAUCAAGCUCAAAGGUAAUUUCUCUGACAUUGUCAACUACUGAUACACAUGCAGUUGUGACUAGAUGGAUUCUUACCUCUUCCCAAUUAUCAGGCACGGAAAAAGUGUAAGGAAUCAUGGGACUCCAUCCAACACCAUGUCCACCUGAUUUCUCAUCCGGUCUUCGGUAUGUCCUCCAACCUGCCUGAGCAAUCUUUUCCUUGUUAAGAUGAACAUUUACUUGGAAAAAAGAAAAGUACAAAUGAAAAAGACUCUAAGAAUUCAAUUAUGUAAGCAAGUCUUGUAGGAUUUAUGUGUUUCUGAUAGAAUCACUCGCUGUCAACUGUUCUUUAAUUACGUGAAUGUAGUGUUUCUACAUGCAUUUUCCAGCCUAGAUGCAAACUUUUGUUGUAAUCUGAUGUUAUGAGCAAUACCAUCUGACUUAGUAAGAGUACUAAUUGUCCAAGUUUUCCUACAUCACUCAUGAACAUGUCUAUAAGUUUACUGCAGUGUUAUAUGAGACUAACCUUCUUCAUCUGGUUCAGAAAGUCCAGGAACUCUCCCUGCUAGAAGACCUUGUUUAACUACAGCAGAUCCCUCUCCAGGAAAACCAAGCAGUACUGAUGAAAUCAAAGAAGCACCAGAUACAAUAGCUGACCUCCUAUUCAACGAGUCUGCAGAUUUCUCACAAUCCCGAUUCACUGUAACAUCUUCUUUAGAACAAGCAGCAGCUUUAAUUCUUGAACACCCUUUUUCUGGAACACCACGAGGAACCACAUGGUGAGAGGGAUUCACCUGUCUGCUCAGGUUGUUUUUCCAUGAAAGGCAGCUGCUGCUGUAUACAAAUGUCCCCAUUUCCCCCCAACCAAGAAAGUAGGAGAAAGAAAUGAGGUUUAUGGAAUUUUUUCUAUUCAAUAUUGAGGAGAUCCAAUAUGGGAAAUUUCAGAUACUUGGUUUCAGAUUGAAGCCUCUUUGAUUAUGCUGUCGGGCUUUAAACUUAUGAAUUCUUCCUGGUAAAGUUAAAAUUGCUUUGAUUGGGUUUACACCUAGCAAAAGCUGAGGUCCACAGG